This 237-nucleotide long non-coding RNA is filed under the name Fukomys damarensis (Damara mole-rat). RNAcentral describes it as "lncRNA (ENSFDAG00000028326.1)". Lineage: Eukaryota; Metazoa; Chordata; Mammalia; Rodentia; Bathyergidae. The record is from RNAcentral.
GGGAUUAUUCGACUACAGCAUAAAGGAAUUUCAGCUGUAUAUCUGGGACCUGCGAAAUGACCAUGGACUGAGUGAGCCCAUGAGCUCCAGGGCCCCACUUGACAACAAGGGAGGGGACAGAUCUCCCAGCCUGUGGGAACAAAGGAGGGACGGCCUGUGCUGGGAGCAGCCCCCGGCCAACCCCAGAAAGACACACACACAAACAAGAUGGCCCACCGUGGGACAGAGCACCCCCCA